ACGUCAAAUCAUCAUGCCCCUUAUGACCUGGGCUACACACGUGCUACAAUGGUUGGUACAACGAGUUGCGAGUCGGUGACGGCGAGCUAAUCCUCUUAAAGCCAAUCUCAGUUCGGAUUGUAGGCUGCAACUCGCCUACAUGAAGUCGGAAUCGCUAGUAAUCGCGGAUCAGCACGCCGCGGUGAAUACGUUCCCGGGCCUU
RNAcentral lists this ribosomal RNA (202 nucleotides) under uncultured Streptococcus sp. RNAcentral describes it as "partial 16S ribosomal RNA". It matches the Rfam family "Bacterial small subunit ribosomal RNA", at positions 1182 to 1382 of the family's 1533-position model. Lineage: Bacteria; Bacillati; Bacillota; Bacilli; Lactobacillales; Streptococcaceae. The record is from RNAcentral.